UAAAGUCUGGCCUGCCCAUUGGAGAACUAAAAGGCCGCGGUAUUAUGACCGUGCAAAGGUAGCAUAAUCAUUAGUUUUUUAAUUGAAGGCUAGAAUGAAUGGUUGGACAAGAAAUAAUCUGUCUUAAAUUAAGAUAUUGAAUUUAACUUUAAAGUGAAAAGGCUUUAAUGAUCUAUUG
RNAcentral lists this ribosomal RNA (178 nucleotides) under Faxonius limosus (spinycheek crayfish). RNAcentral's name for it is "partial 16S ribosomal RNA". It matches the Rfam family "Archaeal large subunit ribosomal RNA", at positions 1940 to 2154 of the family's 2987-position model. The record is from RNAcentral. Lineage: Eukaryota; Metazoa; Arthropoda; Malacostraca; Decapoda; Cambaridae.